GUUUAAGUUCACAUACGACAUUUUGGAAGCAUGCAUUUUGUCAAAAUUUUCAAAGCCUGUUUGUGAGAUAUUUUUUUCUUGAAAAAAUUGUUAUUUUCAACAUUUUGGAAGCCCAGCGACGGUAUGUUUUUACAUUAAAUUCUACAACUAUUAAAAAUAUGGUUUUUAUUUGAAAGACCUUCGAUAGAACUAUAUGCAUUUUAAUCUAUGCAGUGUCUAGGACCGGUUUAUAUACACAUAUCUUUGAAACUGAAACUAACAGAUUAAUGUGUCGCAAACCUAUUCUAAACUAUUAGAAUAAUAUGCCGUAAAUUUGUUCGAAACUAUCAGAAUUAUUUCGAGGUUAGCACCCUCAAAAUCUGGCCUACAGUUAAUAUAUUCAAAUGUAUUCUAGGGUACAAAUGUCUGAAUAUGGUCUUGAGAAGAGCAGCUCUAAAUAACCGCCAAAUGUUAAGUGAGGUUGAAGUUUAUCCAAUCCAUAUUAGAAAUGGAAAGAUCAUUGAAAGAAGUUUUUCGAAAACAACAUUAAAGAAAUACUUAACCCCAAGAUUUCUUUACAGUCAAUUAUUUGUUAUAUUAGAGAUACAUAAGAUACACAGAACGUUCGUUUAAUCUUGUCUAAAAAUGUCUUCAAAGAUCUAAACAAGGAUAUCGUUUUCCAUACAAAUUUGUAUUUAAGAUUUCAAAGAAGACAGACUUGUUUGGAUGGAACAUGGCAACGGUGAUUUAAAAUCUUCCAAUUUUGACGGAACAGAUGUAAUCAAAAUAUUCAGCACGAAUACGAUAAAGGCAAAUGGAGAAAUUUCUGUACAUGGUAGCACGACAUACUGUGCAAAUGAUCGUAACAUAUUAAGCGUCGAAGUAUUAGCAAAAACAACAGCAAAAGUAAUUCAUACAGAUUCAGGAAGAGUAUUGGGUGUAUUUUAUUAUAAAGAAAAAGGUAAGGUAAUACACGACGAAUCUUUGUGUAUUCAAUAAAAAAUACAAACUGGAUCACAAUAAAUCUACCAUGGAUACCAGAAAUGAAAUUUGAACACCAAACGUGCAUUUCGUGUUCAAAAUAUUCAUCAGUGACGCCCGAAUAAAAAAAAUUUAGAGGCCAAAAUAUAAGGAGAGUAUUGAAAAUUAGAUGGACAAAGAACUUAAUUUUAAUUUUGCAUCGGAAAAAAGACACAAUUAGAUUGUAUGAUAUAAAAACUGGUAAGGUGUGGUAUGAUUUUAAAAAGUGGAAGCAAACAUUCAUGACCAUUCUAGGACUUUCAACAGAGUAAUCCUCAUACCAUAUUAUCGGCUAUAAACGGCCCCG
This 1306-nucleotide long non-coding RNA is filed under the name Mytilus galloprovincialis (Mediterranean mussel). The record is from RNAcentral. Lineage: Eukaryota; Metazoa; Mollusca; Bivalvia; Mytilida; Mytilidae.